GAUCCUGGCUCAGGAUGAACGCUAGCGGCAGGCCUAACACAUGCAAGUCGAGGGGCAGCACGGUGUAGCAAUACACUGGUGGCGACCGGCGCACGGGUGCGUAACGCGUACGCAACCUACCCAUAACAGGGGGAUAACACUGAGAAAUUGGUACUAAUACCCCAUAACAUCAGGACCGGCAUCGGUUCUGGUUGAAAACUCCGGUGGUUAUGGAUGGGCAUGCGUUGUAUUAGCUGGUUGGUGAGG
Molecule: ribosomal RNA, 246 nt
Filed under: uncultured bacterium
Lineage: Bacteria
Description: partial 16S ribosomal RNA
Rfam family: Bacterial small subunit ribosomal RNA
Source: RNAcentral